This 219-nucleotide ribosomal RNA is filed under the name uncultured bacterium. Its description in RNAcentral is "partial 16S ribosomal RNA". It matches the Rfam family "Bacterial small subunit ribosomal RNA", at positions 1284 to 1500 of the family's 1533-position model. The record is from RNAcentral.
GUUCUCAGUUCGGACUGUAGGCUGCAACUCGCCUACACGAAGCUGGAAUCGCUAGUAAUCGCGGAUCAGCACGCCGCGGUGAAUACGUUCCCGGGCCUUGUACACACCGCCCGUCACACCAUGAGAGUCUGUAACACCCAAAGCCGGUGGGAUAACCUUUAUAGGAGUCAGCCGUCUAAGGUAGGACAGAUGAUUAGGGUGAAGUCGUAACAAGGUAAC